RNA transcript from Chrysoperla carnea, 2088 nucleotides. It is a transcript of the gene named nuclear RNA export factor 1-like, with no coding region annotated. The record is from RefSeq and is a predicted model, not a curated record. The transcript is spliced from 9 exons. Lineage: Eukaryota; Metazoa; Arthropoda; Insecta; Neuroptera; Chrysopidae.
UAAUGAACACCGGCAAUAUUUUUUUAUACGAAUGAAAUUUUUAAAAUAAACUGAAUAAACUAUCAAAAUAAUGGAAGGUAAUUUACCACUGGUAUUAAAUCAAUCAAAUGCUCUCAUUGUGAAAAAAAUGGGAGCAUUUAAAAGUUGUAUAUUAAAUCAACCACUAUUAUGGCAUAAAUUUGUUAUUCACGAUGGAGCUAGUUUAGAUCGAGAUAAAGUUUUAAAAGUUAUUGUUGAUAAGGCUGAUGAUUUAUUUCCAAUACAAUAUCAAAUUGAAGAUAAAAAUUCUUCGUUUAUUGCUCGUAAUUGUUGUACAGCAAUUGAUGUAUUAUGUAGUCGGAAUUUAGUAUUAGAAUAUCCUGGUGGAUCUCCUAUGAUUAUGAGUAUUUUAUUAAAUAAAGGAAUGCCGACAGAGACAACGUUAAAGAUUCAAGAUGUUUUAAUGCAUGUAUUAAAUAGAAGAUUCACAAAGAAAACGGGAGUUUUAAAUCUGGAAAAUUUAGUUAAAGAUCCAGGUUUAUCAGAUAAAGUAUAUUGUGCUUUAUCCAAUCACAAAAUUUUAUCAUUUGUCCUAUCACUGGCAAGAGGCUUAGGUGUAAAAUGUUUACGAUUAAAUAAUAAUGAAAUUAAGAGUAUUGACGGUUUGGAAGCUGCAUGGGCCCAUCGAACAAUUACAUCCAUUGAUUUACGUAAUAAUCUGAUUGAAAAUAUGGUGAAAUUAUUUCCUUUGAAAAGUAUGAACAUCCAAGAAUUAUGGUUAGAUGGAAAUCCAGUAUGUCAGAAUUACGCAGAGAAUGGAUACGUUUUGGCAAUAAAAGAAAUUUGUCCCAAUAUUGAAAGGCUGGAUGGUCAAGUAUUAGCAACGAAUGGUGUACCAGCGUUUCGACGAAAUUAUUUAGUGAAGUAUGAAGCAUUGGAUUUCGUUGAUCAAUUUCUAGAACAUUAUUUCACUUUAUACGAUUCAAAUAAUCGUAAAUCGUUAGAGGGUUUGUAUUAUCGUGGUGCUUUAUUUUCUUUGACAUGUUCUUUAAUCAUGGGACAAGUUACAACACCGACAGCGAGACUUGACGAAUAUAAAAGAAUUACUCGAAACUUAUUAAAAAUGUCCGAUUAUUCAAAACACGACAAAUAUUUAUUUCAUACGUCGGAAGAAAUUGUUAAAGCAUUAUGUAUGUUACCACCAACUGAACAUGAUCCAUACACGUUUACAGUGGAUCUAUUAUAUUAUUCGAAUGUAACAGCUGUACUCCUAGUAACUGGAGUAUUUCGUGAACAAGUUGAAAAAUUAUCAGAUCCAGAUUCGUUGUAUGGUUUUACACGAACGUUUGUUUUAACAGCGGCCGCUCAUGGUGAAUAUAACAUUAUAAACGAACAAGUACACAUCUUUAAUGCCACCACUGUUCAAGUGCAGCGUGCUUUUAUAGUUAUUAAUGCUACAAGUGGGAUAACUAGCAAAUAAUCUGACAGUCGUGGUGUUGCGGCAUGAGCGUAAGGUUAUGAGACAUUCUUAUGAAGACGAGUGUGGUAGAUGUCGCUACGAGCCGUAGGCGAGUUGCGACAACCACACGAGUCUUCAUAAGAAUGUCUCAUAACCUUAGAGCGAAUGCCGUAAUCACGACUGUCAUAUUUGCUAGUUAUUCCGCAAGUAGCAUUCAAUACUUUUUACAACAAUCGCUCGGGAAGUUGACUUUGAGAGAAAUUUAUCAAUUUGAGAAAUGAUUUAUUUACUUAUUUUAAAUUUAAAUUUUAUUGCAUACAAAUUUUUAUUGCUCGUUCAUUUUAAUUUCAAUUUUUAAUUUUGUUUUUUUGUAUGUAACACUCGCGUUUGACACAAUCAGUGUGGUAACUUUAAUAAAUGAGGGUUAAGAUUGAUUACUUAUUUUUUUUUAGUACAGAUGGCGUGUCAGUAGUACAUACAAUUAUGUAGUCUAUAACCGAACAUGUGCGUUUAUGAAACACCUAUAACCGAACAUGUGCGUUUAUGAAACACAUAUAGUUAAGUAUGCGAUUAUUGUGUAUUUUGAAGGUGACAUACAGCGCUCGAAAAGUCUACUUCCCGAGUGGGCGUUGUAAAAAAUAAAUGUACCU